Molecule: long non-coding RNA, 208 nt
Filed under: Homo sapiens (human)
Lineage: Eukaryota; Metazoa; Chordata; Mammalia; Primates; Hominidae
Description: non-protein coding lnc-WRNIP1-16:5
Source: RNAcentral
UUUCAAGUAUCAUAGUUAACCAAAACAUCAUAAAUCACCCCUUCAUAGGGUUUUCACUUUGUCAGAAGUUGAAAAUUAUCUUUAUACCUGUAUGUAGUAGCUAGGAGCAGAAUGUGUUUAAGUGUGAUCCUGUUUGGGUAAAUCCUUUAAGGAAAAUACAUAUAUGCUGGUGUGUGCAUUAAAACAUCUCAAAGAAAUCACAAGAAGC